UGACAUCCUUUAAUAACCUAAUUCAUAUACAGGAUUUUAUGUGCUUACCAAUUAAGGGAGCACUUGUGUAUGUACAGAAAGAAUGCAGAUGGCUCUGUGGUCUUAGUUUGCCAUUUUUACAUUCUUGAUGGUCGCUUAGAAUGAAGAUUUUAUACGUUUACUUAUAUGUGUGGACGUAUAGUUUUCUGCAUGUCUUUGACUCUGUCUGAAUGGGUUGGAAGUCUAAUGCACUGAACUAUUGCAGAUGCAUAAAGUAUCAUCGAAACUUGAGAUUCUUGGAUGACAUCAGCACCCUAAUCUAACUGGUCCAUUCUUAAAGGUCACUUCUGAAUUAUGCAUAUCCACUUUGUGCUAAGGUUUACAAUAAUUAAUGACUUUCUGUUGAGAGGUUUAUAGUACUUUGCAUUGCUGUAAGAUUUUUGUUAUUAUGACCAUUCUGUUGAGUAUCUUUGCUCAUUGAGCUCUUUGGUGAGUUUUUGGACUCCUUUGGGUGGGAGGAGAGUUUCCUAAUUUGUUCUCUGUUUCUAGGAUAUUUUGCAAGGUAAAAUAUUGAUGUGAUGAUGAUGAUGACAGGAGGGGUAUCGAGAUCAGGUCAUGAUGAUGACAUAAAUAUAUCUUCACUGGAAUCAGGCUUCUUGAAGUGAAACAGCUUGAUGAGUACUUUUGUAUGUUUAUUCAUUUUUGUGAAUGAUGUUCUGUAUUCAAUUGUUAGUCCUUGAAUUUGAGGUUGUUACAUUCACAAAUAUGAAUAUGUAUUUAGUGGAGGAACCUUCUGUUGUACAUAUACAUUGGUUAUUAAUCACGAUCUUAUAUAUUAUCUCUA
Molecule: long non-coding RNA, 823 nt
Organism: Cucumis melo (muskmelon)
Lineage: Eukaryota; Viridiplantae; Streptophyta; Magnoliopsida; Cucurbitales; Cucurbitaceae
Exons: 2
Source: RefSeq, a predicted model, not a curated record